ACUCCUACGGGAGGCAGCAGUGGGGAAUAUUGCGCAAUGGGCGGAAGCCUGACGCAGCGACGCCGCGUGCGGGAUGAAGGCCUUCGGGUUGUAAACCGCUUUCACCAGGGACGAAGCGAGAGUGACGGUACCUGGGGAAGAAGCGCCGGCUAACUACGUGCCAGCAGCCGCGGUAAUACGUAGGGCGCGAGCGUUGUCCGGAAUUAUUGGGCGUAAAGAGCUCGUAGGCGGCUGGUUGCGUCUGCUGUGAAAUCCCGGGGCUUAACCCCGGGCGUGCAGUGGAUACGGGCCGGCUGGAGGCAGGCAGGGGAGAAUGGAAUUCCCGGUGUAGCGGUGAAAUGCGCAGAUAUCGGGAGGAACACCGGUGGCGAAGGCGGUUCUCUGGGCCUGUACUGACGCUGAGGAGCGAAAGCGUGGGGAGCGAACAGGAUUAGAUACCCUGGUAGUCCACGCCGUAAACGUUGGGCGCUAGGUGUGGGUCCCUUCCACGGGGUCUGUGCCGCAGCUAACGCAUUAAGCGCCCCGCCUGGGGAGUACGGCCGCAAGGCUAAAACUCAGAGGAAUUGACGGGGGCCCGCACAAGCGGCGGAGCAUGUUGCUUAAUUCGACGCAACGCGAAGAACCUUACCAAGGUUUGACAUGGCCGGAAAACUCGCAGAGAUGCGGGGUCCUUCGGGGCCGGUCACAGGUGGUGCAUGGCUGUCGUCAGCUCGUGUCGUGAGAUGUUGGGUUAAGUCCCGCAACGAGCGCAACCCUCGUCCCAUGUUGCCAGCAUUCAGUUGGGGACUCAUGGGAGACUGCCGGGGUCAACUCGGA
RNAcentral lists this ribosomal RNA (816 nucleotides) under uncultured Actinomycetes bacterium. RNAcentral describes it as "bacterial SSU rRNA". It matches the Rfam family "Bacterial small subunit ribosomal RNA", at positions 335 to 1167 of the family's 1533-position model. Lineage: Bacteria; Bacillati; Actinomycetota; Actinomycetes. The record is from RNAcentral.